UACGUAGGGUGCAAGCGUUGUCCGGAAUUAUUGGGCGUAAAGAGCUCGUAGGUGGCGGGUCACGUCGGGUGUGAAAGCCCGGGGCUUAACCCCGGGUCUGCAUUCGAUACGGGUCUGCUGGGGUCCGGCAGGGGAGACUGGAAUUCCUGGUGUAGCGGUGAAAUGCGCAGAUAUCAGGAGGAACACCGGUGGCGAAGGCGGGUCUCUGGGCAAUAACUGACGCUGAGGAGCGAAAGCGUGGGGAGCGAACAGG
Molecule: ribosomal RNA, 253 nt
Filed under: uncultured bacterium
Lineage: Bacteria
Description: partial 16S ribosomal RNA
Rfam family: Bacterial small subunit ribosomal RNA
Source: RNAcentral